ACGCUAGCUACAGGCUUAACACAUGCAAGUCGAGGGGCAGCAUGAUUGAAGCUUGCUUCAAUUGAUGGCGACCGGCGCACGGGUGAGUAACACGUAUCCAACCUUCCGUACACUCAGGGAUAGCCUUUCGAAAGAAAGAUUAAUACCUGAUGGUAUCUUAAGCACACAUGUAAUUAAGAUUAAAGAUUUAUCGGUGUACGAUGGGGAUGCGUUCCAUUAGGUAGUAGGCGGGGUAACGGCCCACCUAGCCUACGAUGGAUAGGGGUUCUGAGAGGAAGGUCCCCCACAUUGGAACUGAGACACGGUCCAAACUCCUACGGGAGGCAGCAGUGAGGAAUAUUGGUCAAUGGACGAGAGUCUGAACCAGCCGAGUAGCGUGAAGGAUGAAGGUCCUACGGAUUGUAAACUUCUUUUAUAAGGGAAUAAAACCUCCCACGUGUGGGAGCUUGUAUGUACCUUAUGAAUAAGCAUCGGCUAACUCCGUGCCAGCAGCCGCGGUAAUACGGAGGAUGCGAGCGUUAUCCGGAUUUAUUGGGUUUAAAGGGAGCGCAGACGGGUCGUUAAGUCAGCUGUGAAAGUUUGGGGCUCAACCUUAAAAUUGCAGUUGAUACUGGCGUCCUUGAGUGCGGUUGAGGUGUGCGGAAUUCGUGGUGUAGCGGUGAAAUGCUUAGAUAUCACGAAGAACUCCGAUUGCGAAGGCAGCACACUAAGCCGUAACUGACGUUCAUGCUCGAAAGUGUGGGUAUCAAACAGGAUUAGAUACCCUGGUAGUCCACACGGUAAACGAUGGAUACUCGCUGUUGGCGAUAUACGGUCAGCGGCUUAGCGAAAGCGUUAAGUAUCCCACCUGGGGAGUACGCCGG
RNAcentral lists this ribosomal RNA (863 nucleotides) under uncultured organism. RNAcentral describes it as "SSU rRNA". It matches the Rfam family "Bacterial small subunit ribosomal RNA", at positions 33 to 888 of the family's 1533-position model. The record is from RNAcentral.